UGGCUUGUAACUCAAAGGAUUAGAGUCCGUGGCUACGAACCACGAUGCCGAGGGUUCGAAUCCCUCCUUGCCCA
Molecule: transfer RNA, 74 nt
Filed under: Monotropsis odorata (sweet pinesap)
Lineage: Eukaryota; Viridiplantae; Streptophyta; Magnoliopsida; Ericales; Ericaceae
Description: tRNA-Arg
Rfam family: tRNA
About the family: Transfer RNA (tRNA) molecules are approximately 80 nucleotides in length.
Source: RNAcentral